UGAGGAAUAUUGGUCAAUGGACGAGAGUCUGAACCAGCCAAGUAGCGUGAAGGAUGACUGCCCUAUGGGUUGUAAACUUCUUUUAUACGGGAAUAAAGUUAGCCACGUGUGGCUUUUUGUAUGUACCGUAUGAAUAAGGAUCGGCUAACUCCGUGCCAGCAGCCGCGGUAAUACGGAGGAUCCGAGCGUUAUCCGGAUUUAUUGGGUUUAAAGGGAGCGUAGGCGGGUUGUUAAGUCAGUUGUGAAAGUUUGCGGCUCAACCGUAAAAUUGCAGUUGAUACUGGCGACCUUGAGUGCAACAGAGGUAGGCGGAAUUCGUGGUGUAGCGGUGAAAUGCUUAGAUAUCACGAAGAACUCCGAUUGCGAAGGCAGCUUACUGGAUUGUAACUGACGCUGAUGCUCGAAAGUGUGGGUAUCAAACA
This 422-nucleotide ribosomal RNA is filed under the name uncultured bacterium. RNAcentral describes it as "bacterial SSU rRNA". It matches the Rfam family "Bacterial small subunit ribosomal RNA", at positions 355 to 774 of the family's 1533-position model. The record is from RNAcentral.